This 435-nucleotide ribosomal RNA is filed under the name uncultured Lachnospiraceae bacterium. Its description in RNAcentral is "bacterial SSU rRNA". It matches the Rfam family "Bacterial small subunit ribosomal RNA", at positions 341 to 792 of the family's 1533-position model. Lineage: Bacteria; Bacillati; Bacillota; Clostridia; Lachnospirales; Lachnospiraceae. The record is from RNAcentral.
ACGGAAGGCAGCAGUGGGGAAUAUUGCACAAUGGGGGAAACCCUGAUGCAGCAACGCCGCGUGAGUGAAGAAGUAUUUCGGUAUGUAAAGCUCUAUCAGCAGGGAAGAUAAUGACGGUACCUGACUAAGAAGCACCGGCUAAAUACGUGCCAGCAGCCGCGGUAAUACGUAUGGUGCAAGCGUUAUCCGGAUUUACUGGGUGUAAAGGGUGCGUAGGUGGUAUGGCAAGUCAGAAGUGAAAACCCGGGGCUCAACCCCGUGGAUUGCUUUUGAAACUGUCAAACUAGAGUACCGGAGAGGUAAGCGGAAUUCCUAGUGUAGCGGUGAAAUGCGUAGAUAUUAGGAGGAACACCAGUGGCGAAGGCGGCUUACUGGACGGUAACUGACACUGAGGCACGAAAGCGUGGGGAGCAAACAGGAUUAGAUACCCUGGUA